This 253-nucleotide ribosomal RNA is filed under the name uncultured bacterium. Its description in RNAcentral is "partial 16S ribosomal RNA". It matches the Rfam family "Bacterial small subunit ribosomal RNA", at positions 524 to 776 of the family's 1533-position model. The record is from RNAcentral.
UACAGAGGGUGCGAGCGUUAAUCGGAAUUACUGGGCGUAAAGGGCGCGUAGGCGGCCUUCUAAGUCGAACGUGAAAUCCCCGGGCUCAACCCGGGAACUGCGUCCGAUACUGGGAGGCUUGAAUCCGGGAGAGGGAUGUGGAAUUCCAGGUGUAGCGGUGAAAUGCGUAGAUAUCUGGAGGAAUACCGGUGGCGAAGGCGGCAUCCUGGACCAUUACUGACGCUGAGGCGCGAAAGCUAGGGGAGCAAACGGG